This is a non-coding RNA of Cinara cedri, 478 nucleotides long. NCBI's taxonomy places the organism in Eukaryota, Metazoa, Arthropoda, Insecta, Hemiptera, Aphididae. The record is from the annotation of a GenBank genome assembly.
GGUUAAAUUAUAUAAUAUUCGCUAUAAUAAUAUUAAAAUUAUGAAGACAUAACACUGUAGCGUUGUUACUGUACCAAAAAAUACAAAAAUUCAAAGAUGACGUUUUACGUAUUUUCACUUACCCAUCCAGUACAGGGCAUAGUUUUUUGUUUUUUUUUUUCAUCCAUGUAUCCAAUAUUAGACUAGCAGACAGUCUGAUAGCCUCUUUAUUUUAAGUUGUUAUAGUGGCCAUGGCAUUUGUAUUUCUGUUUAUGAUUUUUUUUUAAUUUUUUUAAUUUCAUCUGUGUUACUAAGAUAAUCGAAAAAUCAUUUAGUGUUCGUACCUAAAAUCCUUAAAAAUACUUUCAUCUCCUAUUUCAUCCCCUUCGAAUUUUAUCUUCGUAACGAAAAUAUCUCUAUACCAAAAUUCAUCAAAAUUGGUUCAGUGGCGUGAAAACAUAACAGACUGGUUUACUUUCAUUAUUUAAAAUAUAGUCUA